RNAcentral lists this ribosomal RNA (856 nucleotides) under Allocryptovalsa microtheca. RNAcentral describes it as "LSU rRNA". It matches the Rfam family "Eukaryotic large subunit ribosomal RNA", at positions 89 to 968 of the family's 3401-position model. The record is from RNAcentral. Lineage: Eukaryota; Fungi; Ascomycota; Sordariomycetes; Xylariales; Diatrypaceae.
GAGAGUGAAGCGGCAACAGCUCAAAUUUGAAAUCUGGCCUUAGGGGUCCGAAUUGUAAUUUGUAGAGGAUGCUUUGGGCGCGGUGCCUUCCGAGUUCCUUGGAACAGGACGCCUUAGAGGGUGAGAGCCCCGUACGGUUGGACACCAAGCCUAUGUAAAGCUCCUUCGACGAGUCGAGUAGUUUGGGAAUGCUGCUCUAAAUGGGAGGUAAAUUUCUUCUAAAGCUAAAUACCGGCCAGAGACCGAUAGCGCACAAGUAGAGUGAUCGAAAGAUGAAAAGUACUUUGAAAAGAGGGUUAAAUAGCACGUGAAAUUGUUGAAAGGGAAGCAUUUAUGACCAGACCUUUGCUAGGUGGAUCAUCCGGUGUUCUUCACCGGUGCACUUCGCCUAGCUUAGGCCAGCAUCGAUUUCUGUAGGGGGAUAAAGGYCUAGGGAACGUAGCUCUCUACGGAGAGUGUUAUAGCCCUGGGCGUAAUACCCCUACGGGGAUCGAGGUUCGCGCUUCGGCAAGGAUGCUGGCAUAAUGGUCAUCAAUGACCCGUCUUGAAACACGGACCAAGGAGUCGAACAUUUAUGCGAGUGUUUGGGUGUUAAACCCUCACGCGUAAUGAAAGUGAACGGAGGUGAGAGCCCUUAAGGGUGCAUCAUCGACCGAUCCUGAUGUCUUCGGAUGGAUUUGAGUAAGAGCAUAACUGUUCGGACCCGAAAGAUGGUGAACUAUGCGUGGAUAGGGUGAAGCCAGAGGAAACUCUGGUGGAGGCUCGCAGCGGUUCUGACGUGCAAAUCGAUCGUCAAAUCUGCGCAUGGGGGCGAAAGACUUAUCGAACCAUCUAGUAGCUGGUUACCGCCGAAGUU